This 642-nucleotide ribosomal RNA is filed under the name uncultured bacterium. RNAcentral's name for it is "bacterial SSU rRNA". It matches the Rfam family "Bacterial small subunit ribosomal RNA", at positions 233 to 885 of the family's 1533-position model. The record is from RNAcentral.
GCGGCCUAUCAGCUUGUUGGUGAGGUAAUGGCUCACCAAGGCGACGACGGGUAGCCGGCCUGAGAGGGCGACCGGCCACACUGGGACUGAGACACGGCCCAGACUCCUACGGGAGGCAGCAGUGGGGAAUAUUGCACAAUGGGCGAAAGCCUGAUGCAGCGACGCCGCGUGAGGGAUGACGGCCUUCGGGUUGUAAACCUCUUUCAGCAGGGAAGAAGCGAAAGUGACGGUACCUGCAGAAGAAGCGCCGGCUAACUACGUGCCAGCAGCCGCGGUAAUACGUAGGGCGCAAGCGUUGUCCGGAAUUAUUGGGCGUAAAGAGCUCGUAGGCGGCUUGUCACGUCGGGUGUGAAAGCCCGGGGCUUAACCCCGGGUCUGCAUUCGAUACGGGCUAGCUAGAGUGUGGUAGGGGAGAUCGGAAUUCCUGGUGUAGCGGUGAAAUGCGCAGAUAUCAGGAGGAACACCGGUGGCGAAGGCGGAUCUCUGGGCCAUUACUGACGCUGAGGAGCGAAAGCGUGGGGAGCGAACAGGAUUAGAUACCCUGGUAGUCCACGCCGUAAACGGUGGGAACUAGGUGUUGGCGACAUUCCACGUCGUCGGUGCCGCAGCUAACGCAUUAAGUUCCCCGCCUGGGGAGUACGG